AUUGAACGCUGGCGGCGUGCCUAACACAUGCAAGUCGAGCGGUAACAGGUGUAGCAAUACAUGCUGACGAGCGGCGAACGGGUGAGUAAUGCUUCGGAAUCUACCUUAUGGUGGGGAAUAACUAGCCGAAAGGUUAGCUAAUACCGCAUACGUCCUACGGGAGAAAGCAGGGGAUCGCAAGACCUUGCGCCAAAAGAUGAGCCGAAGUCGGAUUAGCUAGUUGGUAGGGUAACGGCCUACCAAGGCGACGAUCCGUAGCUGGUCUGAGAGGACGACCAGGCACACUGGGACUGAGACACGGCCCAGACUCCUACGGGAGGCAGCAGUGGGGAAUAUUGGACAAUGGGGGAAACCCUGAUCCAGCGACGCCGCGUGUGUGAAGAAGGCCUGCGGGUUGUAAAGCACUUUUAGUGGGGAUGAAAUGUGCAGGGUUAAUACCUCUGCAUUUUGACCUAACCCACAGAAAAAGCACCGGCUAACUCUGUGCCAGCAGCCGCGGUAA
RNAcentral lists this ribosomal RNA (502 nucleotides) under uncultured bacterium. Its description in RNAcentral is "partial 16S ribosomal RNA". It matches the Rfam family "Bacterial small subunit ribosomal RNA", at positions 30 to 523 of the family's 1533-position model. The record is from RNAcentral.